AGCAAAUGCAUAUAGUAGUUCAUAUGAAGUCAGUACUUAAUUCUUCCACUCGAACUGAGUUCCAAAAAAUGAAAAGCAAAAGGGACUAAUAAUGCAGAGCACCAAGUUUAAUAGAGUAUUACAUUUUUAACCUACACCAGGAUAGAGCACUAAGAGAGAACAAAAAUUACAUUCAUCAACUGUGGUUCUGGGAGUAUCCAAAGCUUAGCGGUUGCUGACAGAAAGAAGGCUGAAAGAAGGCAUGUCUAACUUGAUCAUAUGAAUGUGCAUAAAUCAUGCUCUGGGGGGUGAAGGCGUAAGCGGAAGUUUGGGGCUACACAGACUCACCCCAAGAUAAAGCAGCAGCGGCGUUUCUCUGCACCUGUUGCUACAUAUAAUGUGCCAGCUGUGAGGGUUAGGAUAAUUGAGGAGCCUACACCUUCACCCCCUUUGAAUGUUUUGAAGGCUACAGAUCUUGUGGACAGUAAUGGUAGUGAAUUGAACAGCAAAGUAGAUGAAGUGGUGAAUGGAAAUGGUUUGAGAUUGAGAGAGCAAAAUGAGUUGAAUUUGAAGCUGAGUGAAUUAAAAGGAGCAACGUCAACUAAUGGGAACCCUGUGGAUAUAUCUGGUAAUGGUCUCACAAAUGGAUUUCCUAAGGUUAAUGGUGCAGAAUUUUAUCAGUCUGAUCGAUGUACUGGAGCUAAAAAGAGGAAAUCUGGUUGUGUUCGGAGAUUUAAACGGGAGACUACCUCAGCUGUGAAGGAUGAUACCCAAGAUGCUUUAGCAGGUGGUCCUUUGGCUACUUUUAUGCAGGAUGGAAGUCAUAAUCAUGUUAUGGUUGCUGAUGAUUCCAAAGAUGGGUAUACCAUUACACAACUUGUCAACCCUGUAAGCUAUAAAGCUUCUUUCUCCAAUGAUAUGCUGGAUGUCUCAGUGACCUUUGUUGCCAAGAGGGCCGAUGGAAAUUUAGUGCUGGUGGAUAACAAGUUUCUGAAGAUGAAUAAUCCACUUCUGUUGAUAAAUUUCUAUGAGGAGAAUAUGCGAUACCAUCCGACUGAAUGAGUUGCCUGCAAUGAAGGAAAUAUAUAUGUAGCUCGAUUAGCUUCAUCUCUUGUCUUAUCUAGUGUAUAAAAUGUUGUUAUUUACUGUUAGAACAAGCUGCAGGGUGUUAAUCUAUUAUGCUUAUUAGGAAGGCUAGUAAACAGAAUAUAUACUGUGAAAAACUUAUAUUAGGGUUUACUGUUUCCCGAUAUAAUAUGCUUCAGAGUUCUAUCUCGAUGUGUACCCAGUAGAUGAGAUG
Molecule: unclassified non-coding RNA, 1279 nt
Filed under: Hevea brasiliensis (rubber tree)
Lineage: Eukaryota; Viridiplantae; Streptophyta; Magnoliopsida; Malpighiales; Euphorbiaceae
Source: RNAcentral